AGAGUUUGAUCAUGGCUCAGGAUGAACGCUGGCGGCGUGCUUAACACAUGCAAGUCGAACGGAGAACUUUCGCUGAUGCGAGCUUGCUCAAAUCUUGAGAGUUCUUAGUGGCGGACGGGUGAGUAACGCGUGGGUAACCUGCCGUAUGCAGGGGGACAACAGCUGGAAACGGCUGCUAAUACCGCAUAAGCGCACAGUACCGCAUGGUACAGUGUGAAAAGUUCUGGCGGCAUACGAUGGACCCGCGUCUGAUUAGCUAGUUGGUAAGGUAACGGCUUACCAAGGCAACGAUCAGUAGCCGGCCUGAGAGGGUGAACGGCCACAUUGGGACUGAGACACGGCCCAAACUCCUACGGGAGGCAGCAGUGGGGAAUAUUGGACAAUGGGGGAAACCCUGAUCCAGCGACGCCGCGUGAGUGAAGAAGUAUUUCGGUAUGUAAAGCUCUAUCAGCAGGGAAGAAAAUGACGGUACCUGACUAAGAAGCUCCGGCUAAAUACGUGCCAGCAGCCGCGGUAAUACGUAUGGAGCAAGCGUUAUCCGGAUUUACUGGGUGUAAAGGGAGCGUAGACGGUUUAGUAAGUCUGAAGUGAAAGCCCGGGGCUCAACUCCGGGACUGCUUUGGAAACUAUUAAACUAGAGUGCAGGAGAGGUAAGUGGAAUUCCUAGUGUAGCGGUGAAAUGCGUAGAUAUUAGGAGGAACACCAGUGGCGAAGGCGGCUUACUGGACUGUAACUGACGUUGAGGCUCGAAAGCGUGGGGAGCAAACAGGAUUAGAUACCCUGGUAGUCCACGCCGUAAACGAUGAUUACUAGGUGUGGGGGGAUUGACCCCUUCCGUGCCGCAGUUAACACAAUAAGUAAUCCACCUGGGGAGUACGACCGCAAGGUUGAAACUCAAAGGAAUUGACGGGGGCCCGCACAAGCAGUGGAGUAUGUGGAUUAAUUCGAAGCAACGCGAAGAACCUUACCAGGUCUUGACAUCAAGUGACCGUUCUAGAGAUAGGACCUUCUCUUCGGAGACACGAAGACAGGUGGUGCAUGGUUGUCGUCAGCUCGUGUCGUGAGAUGUUGGGUUAAGUCCCGCAACGAGCGCAACCCUUAUGAUUAGUUGCUACGCAAGAGCACUCUAAUCAGACUGCCGUUGACAAAACGGAGGAAGGUGGGGAUGACGUCAAAUCAUCAUGCCCUUUAUGACCUGGGCCUCACACGUACUACAAUGGCGUUUAACAAAGAGCAGCGAGACCGCGAGGUGGAGCAAAUCUCCAAAAAACGUCUCAGUUCAGAUUGCAGGCUGCAACUCGCCUGCAUGAAGUCGGAAUUGCUAGUAAUCGUAGAUCAGCAUGCUACGGUGAAUACGUUCCCGGGCCUUGUACUCACCGCCCGU
RNAcentral lists this ribosomal RNA (1384 nucleotides) under uncultured bacterium. RNAcentral's name for it is "bacterial SSU rRNA". It matches the Rfam family "Bacterial small subunit ribosomal RNA". The record is from RNAcentral.